GGGAUUGCCUCAGUAACGGCGAGUGAAGCGGCAACAGCUCAAAUUUGAAAUCUGGCCCCUCCGGGGUCCGAGUUGUAAUUUGUAGAGAGUGUUUCGGGUGAGACCACGGUCUAAGUCUGUUGGAACAUUACGUCAUAGAGGGUGAGAACCCCGUAUGCGACCGUGGCUCGAGCCCAUGUGAAGCCUCUUCGACGAGUCGAGUUGUUUGGGAAUGCAGCUCAUAAUGGGUGGUAAAUUUCAUCUAAAGCUAAAUACUGGCUGGAGACCGAUAGCGCACAAGUAGAGUGAUCGAAAGAUGAAAAGCACUUUGGAAAGAGAGUCAAACAGUACGUGAAAUUGUUGAAAGGGAAGCGCUGGCAACCAGACCUGUCCGUAGGCGAUCAGCCGCUGUUCUCAGCGGUGCACUCGUUCUGCGAUCAGGCCAGCAUCGGUUUCGGCGGUCGGAUAAAGGCCCGGGGAACGUAGCUCUCCUUCGGGGGAGUGUUAUAGCCCCGGGCGCAAUGCGGCCAGCCGGGACCGAGGACCGCGCAUUUAUGCUAGGAUGCUGGCGUAAUGGUUGUCAGCGACCCGUCUUGAAACACGGACCAAGGAGUCUAACAUCUAUGCGAGUGUUUGGGUGUUAAACCCAUGCGCGGAAUGAAAGUGAACGGAGGUGAGAACCCUUUAGGGCGCAUCAUCGACCGAUCCAGAAGUUUACGGAUGGAUUUGAGUAUGAGCAUAGCUGUUGGGACCCGAAAGAUGGUGAACUAUGCCUGAAUAGGGUGAAGCCAGAGGAAACUCUGGUGGAGGCUCGCAGCGGUUCUGACGUGCAAAUCGAUCGUCAAAUUUGGGUAUAGGGGCGAAAGACUAAUCGAACCAUCUAGUAGCUGGUUCCUGCCGAAGU
This 883-nucleotide ribosomal RNA is filed under the name Hypotrachyna dentella. RNAcentral's name for it is "eukaryotic LSU rRNA". It matches the Rfam family "Eukaryotic large subunit ribosomal RNA", at positions 71 to 967 of the family's 3401-position model. Lineage: Eukaryota; Fungi; Ascomycota; Lecanoromycetes; Lecanorales; Parmeliaceae. The record is from RNAcentral.